CCUACGGGGGGCAGCAGUGGGGAAUAUUGGACAAUGGGGGCAACCCUGAUCCAGCCAUGCCGCGUGUGUGAAGAAGGCCCUCGGGUUGUAAAGCACUUUCAGUGAGGAAGAACGCCUGGUGGUUAAUACCCAUCAGGAAAGACAUCACUCACAGAAGAAGCACCGGCUAACUCCGUGCCAGCAGCCGCGGUAAUACGGAGGGUGCGAGCGUUAAUCGGAAUUACUGGGCGUAAAGCGCGCGUAGGUGGCUUGAUAAGCCGGUUGUGAAAGCCCCGGGCUCAACCUGGGAACGGCAUCCGGAACUGUCAAGCUAGAGUGCAGGAGAGGAAGGUAGAAUUCCCGGUGUAGCGGUGAAAUGCGUAGAGAUCGGGAGGAAUACCAGUGGCGAAGGCGGCCUUCUGGACUGACACUGACACUGAGGUGCGAAAGCGUGGGUAGCAAACAGGAAUAGAUACCCUGGUAGUC
Molecule: ribosomal RNA, 465 nt
Filed under: Vreelandella stevensii
Lineage: Bacteria; Pseudomonadati; Pseudomonadota; Gammaproteobacteria; Oceanospirillales; Halomonadaceae
Description: partial 16S ribosomal RNA
Rfam family: Bacterial small subunit ribosomal RNA
Source: RNAcentral